GACGAACGCUGGCGGCGUGCCUAAUACAUGCAAGUCGAGCGCGUGAAGCUUUUUUGAUUCCUUCGGGAUGAAAAAUUGUGGAUCGAGCGGCGGAUGGGUGAGUAUCACGUGGGCAACCUGCCUAUAAGAUUGGGAUAACUCGCGGAAACGUGAGCUAAUACCGAAUGAUCCUUCAGGUCGCAUGACCAGGAGGUAAAAGACGGCUUUUAUGCUGUCACUUAUAGAUGGGCCCGCGUCGCAUUAGCUAGUUGGUAAGGUAAAGGCUUACCAAGGCGACGAUGCGUAGCCGACCUGAGAGGGUGAUCGGCCACACUGGGACUGAGACACGGCCCAGACUCCUACGGGAGGCAGCAGUAGGGAAUCUUCCGCAAUGGACGAAAGUCUGACGGAGCAACGCCGCGUGAGUGAUGAAGGUUUUCGGAUCGUAAAACUCUGUUGUUAGGGAAGAACAAGUACGAUAGUAACUGAUCGUACCUUGACGGUACCUAACCAGAAAGCCCCGGCUAACUACGUGC
This 515-nucleotide ribosomal RNA is filed under the name uncultured bacterium. RNAcentral describes it as "bacterial SSU rRNA". It matches the Rfam family "Bacterial small subunit ribosomal RNA", at positions 28 to 508 of the family's 1533-position model. The record is from RNAcentral.